UACGUAGGUGGCAAGCGUUGUCCGGAUUUAUUGGGCGUAAAGAGCGCGCAGGCGGUUCGCAUAGUCCGAGGUGAAAUCUCCCGGCUCAACUGGGAGGGGUCUUCGGAUACUGGCGGGCUUGAGGAGAGCAGAGGUGAGCGGAAUUCUCGGUGUAGUGGUGAAAUGCGUAGAUAUCGAGAGGAACACCAGCGGCGAAGGCGGCUCACUGGGCUCCACCUGACGCUGAGGUGCGAAAGCGUGGGGAGCGAACCGG
RNAcentral lists this ribosomal RNA (253 nucleotides) under uncultured bacterium. RNAcentral describes it as "partial 16S ribosomal RNA". It matches the Rfam family "Bacterial small subunit ribosomal RNA", at positions 524 to 776 of the family's 1533-position model. The record is from RNAcentral.